GAGGAGUCUGGAGGGCUACAGUCCAUGGAGUUGCAAAUAGUCAGACACGACCGAACACGUAUGCACGUAGACAUUCAUGGUUCCCAGGUCUAGGGUAUGACCAGGAGACCAGGGUGGGGCAGGAGAUGUAUCACUAGGACUAAGGUAGUCAGGAGAGUUAGGGGCUAAGGUUGUGGGGCGGGUCAUCAGCUUUAAUGUUGAGAUCACCAAGAAUGGUGACAGUGAAGGAGAAAGAGCCCAGUGGAGGAGAAAGAGCCCAGUGCUGAAAUCGUCGAGGAAUGGAGGAAGUGGCCAGAAGGAUAAUAAGGUGACACUAACUAGAAGCGGUGGAUAUGUUGACAUGUAUUCCAAAGGAGACGGGUUUUUGAAGGAAGAAUAAGAACCGGAUUGGGAAGCUUCAGUGGUGAAUGAGGAGACAUCUCCAGGCCCGGAAGCGUGGCCUAAGGAGAAAGAAGCCUCGGACAGGGCUGUGGAGCAGCAGGAUCCUCAGAGGUCAGACAGUCUUCAGGAGGAAGGAAGAGAGGAUCCCAGGCUUGCAGGAGGUUGCAUGAGAAGGCAGAGAGGCUGCGCCCCACCCCGGCGCCUGACGGAUAAGGGCAGCCUCACCAGGCCCCUAGAGGAAAGCUUCCCAGGUUACCCUGGCCUGGAGGGGAGGCUUCCUUUUCCAGGAACCCCUAUAACUGUGGUUUCUCGCGUUUCUCAGUUGGGCCUGGUCCCCUGCUUCCUGGUGUCCUCAUUGUUCUUCUUCCGUGUGGAUUUCUUAUUUCCUCAAUUAGAGGCAAGUUUGGGCAGAACCCUGUCUAGGCCAUUUUGCACGCGCGCUCCAGUCCAGCACAGCACCUGACACGCAAUGGCCCUUCACAACUGUUUGCUGCUGGAGUUGGAUGCAAAUACGGCCGAAUAGUAUUCCACUGUAAGGAAUAUACCACAUUUUGUCUAUUCUGAUGGACAUUUGAGUUGCCUCUACCUUCGAGUAGAAUAAUGGUGCUGUGGACAUUCAUGUUGUGCAGAAGCUCGUCUCUUCCCUUGAAAACAUGGUGAAAAUCUCUGCAGUAUUUCCCAGUGAAACUGGCUUCCUUCCCUGUCACCGGGAGCUGGCUGGAGCUGAAGGCACGACAGCGGCAUUUCAUCAGCUGAUGUGAGCUCAUGUCCAAGAAGUCCCCACGCCUCUCCGCUCUUGGUACCUGAGAUUCUGGGAAAUCAGCUCUAUUUUCAGCCUGUAGGUUUCCUUGUCAUUAUGAGAACCGAGCUCCUCGGAAACAGGUGGCCACAGGGGAGCUGAAGAAAAGAGGAAGAUGAAGCAAGCCCCACACAGCCUUGCAAGGAGAUUGUUCUUAGCCUAAGACCCUGGAAACCUUGGUCGAAAACCCUCUCGGCUGUUGCCCCUUGGAGACAUCUACUGUUUGGGGAAAUAUGUUUGGACUGUCUGAUCCUCUCUUGGUCCCCGACAUCUAGGAACUACAUAUGCUUGAAAACAGACAGAAGCCUCCACGGAGCUGCUGGCAGAAUGGGAAGCUCAACUGAACCUCACCAGAACUGAAGAAAUACAAAGCCCCACAUAAAUGCAAACUGGACCUACACUCUACAUCACCACGGAGAUGCCUCCCAGCGUCUCAGAUGGUUGCAGGAAAGCAUUAUUCUCUACUAUCCUUAGAAACCUCUCUUUCCCCAGAGCACAGUUCCUUCCAAGGCUCUGGGAUUAACCCUUUCCAGCCAUGCCUCUUCCAACACUCUGUUUAGGUUACUAAAUGUGCUCCCUACGAAAGGACAAGAGUUGAGGAAAUAGGCAAGAUGCUUCAAGGAAAUAGAUGGCAUUUUGUAACUAGGAGGAUGUCAUGCCUGUGUGCCACUGUCACAGAAUAUUUUUAAGUGAAUCGACUUGCAUGUCUCCAGGUGAUAGUCUUUACUAAUCAAAAUCUUGAGCUGGUGCAAGGAUCUGUGAACUCUCUCCUGCUGAACACCUUAUUCAGAAAUAAUGAAGAUAAUAAUAACUCACAUAUAGUAAGUAACAAACACUCUGCAUAUGUUCCCUCAUUUAAACUUCAGCAAAAAUGUAUGAAAUUGGAAGUAUCAUUAUUCCCUUUAUACAGGUAGGGAAACUAAGGCAUGAAGUUGCUAACUCAUAGUAGAUAGUAGAGCCUGGCUUUGAACCCAGGUAGGAUAGCACUAGUGAACCAUUAUGCUUCACUGCCUUGCAACUACCUUACACUGAAAAUCUAGUUGAUGCCAGACUCUGGGCUUUGCACAGAUAAGAAUAAAGCCCAGUCCCUGUCUUGAAAGAGUUCCAACUCUGAUAGACAGACCUGCUGGCAGAGAUGGGUAAACAAAGCAUCACAGCAACAUAAACGAAAGAAAAAGGCCUGUGCCUGUUGGUAAUCAAGGAAGGCUUCACAGAGGAGGUGGCUUUGGAGGGAAAGUAGAAGUUUUCUAAGUAGGCAAAGAGUGGACAGGGCACAUCAGGGAGCAGAAGCUUCUUGGAGGUUAGAUCUGGAGCAAGGGAGGCGGCAAAAGCCAAAACUGAAAAUAAGGAUGUGGUGCCAGGGGGAGGGAGUCUCCCUGCCUGGGUCAGGAAGCCUGGAAAGGAUUUAUACAGCGAAGGGGUGGGCUUGCUUUGCAUUUUAGAAAAGGUUCCCAGGUGUGAAACUUAUCACACAUAAGGAGUGAUUGUGGUGGGAAAAAAGAGAACGCACUUCAGCACUGUGGGAGACAUUACGAAGUGAAGGAGAGAAGGGGCAGACAGAUGUGUAGACCAACUCUGGCUUCAAGUGUAUGAGGAAAUGGACAUCCACACCUACAAAACACAUUAACUGAAUAGGCCUCCCACAUGCUCAUGUGGGAUGACAAGGAUGACAAGGGCCUCUGGCAAUGUCCCUACUACCACUUCUAAGAUACCAUCUCUCUGCAAACUCUAUGGUGGUUAGGACUCCAUACUUUCACUGCUAAGGGCCCAGUUUCAAUCCCUGGUUGGGGAACUAAGAUCCUGCAAGCUGCGUGGUGUGACCAAAAAUUUUUAAAGUAAACAAAGUGAAAAAGAAAAUCUCACUGAAGCCGUCAUUUCAGGGCAGCCAAGGUUGGAAGAAAAGUUAUGACCAAUCUAGAUAGCAUAUUCAAAAGCAGAGAGAUUACUUUGCCGACUAAGAUCCGUCUAGUCAAGGGUAUGGUUUUUC
This is a long non-coding RNA of Capra hircus (goat), 3167 nucleotides long. RefSeq lists it as uncharacterized. The record is from RefSeq and is a predicted model, not a curated record. NCBI's taxonomy places the organism in Eukaryota, Metazoa, Chordata, Mammalia, Artiodactyla, Bovidae. The transcript is spliced from 5 exons.